Molecule: ribosomal RNA, 442 nt
Filed under: Ovis aries (sheep)
Lineage: Eukaryota; Metazoa; Chordata; Mammalia; Artiodactyla; Bovidae
Description: partial small subunit ribosomal RNA
Rfam family: Bacterial small subunit ribosomal RNA
Source: RNAcentral
UCAAACUGGGAUUAGAUACCCCACUAUGCUUAGCCCUAAACACAAAUAAUUAUAAGAACAAAAUUAUUCGCCAGAGUACUACCGGCAACAGCCCGAAACUCAAAGGACUUGGCGGUGCUUUAUACCCUUCUAGAGGAGCCUGUUCUAUAAUCGAUAAACCCCGAUAAACCUCACCAAUCCUUGCUAAUACAGUCUAUAUACCGCCAUCUUCAGCAAACCCUAAAAAAGGGACAAAAGUAAGCUCAAUAAUAACACAUAAAGACGUUAGGUCAAGGUGUAACCUAUGGAGUGGGAAGAAAUGGGCUACAUUUUCUACCCAAGAAAAUUUAAUACGAAAGCCAUUAUGAAAUUAAUAGCCAAAGGAGGAUUUAGCAGUAAACUAAGAAUAGAGUGCUUAGUUGAAUCAGGCCAUGAAGCACGCACACACCGCCCGUCACCCUCA